This 86-nucleotide microRNA precursor is filed under the name Anopheles gambiae str. PEST. Its description in RNAcentral is "partial AGAP013703-RA". The record is from RNAcentral. Lineage: Eukaryota; Metazoa; Arthropoda; Insecta; Diptera; Culicidae.
AAGUACUAGCCAUGCCCGAUGUUGCUUAACUUCGGUGAUCGGACGAGAAUCGGUGUUUUCAACAUGGUAUGGUCGUUGACAACCAU